UUGCAGACAUGGAUGACAGUUUGUAUUACUUUGGUCAAGUCAUUUAAAAUCUCGGAUCAGUAAGAUGGAGGUAUUAAAUACCUCACAUUACUCUUAGGAAAAUUCAGUUCUUCUUAUGAAGCACUUAGCAUAGGGCUUGGUAUUGGAUAAGUGCUGCCAUUUUUUGAUGAUAGUAAUGUUGCCUAUUAAUAUUAAUUUCCCCUGGAAAAUGAGGAUUUCUCGUUGACAAGCAGAAGUUUCGAUGGUUAUGUCUAAGUGGGGCCUUGGUUUGCAAUCCUAUUGACCUCAGGUGGUGUUCAUGCAUCAAAUGGAAAUCUGAGCUGCAAAACCCCAAUUCCUCUGCCUGUACCCACCUUCUGCAGGAGGAGGAUCUCUGUCAAGAUAAUGGUGCUUACACUGCCACCACGGAAUGAGAAGCAGGUGACUCACUACUGAUCAUCUGCUGCUCACUCACUUCCACUGCAGAGGAACUGUGCUCCCCGCAAAUAGUUGGCUCCCAGCACAGAGCAAUGGGGCCUGGUUGGAGAGUGAGCUCAUUGGGAGCCGAGUCAGAGCUGAACUUGGAAGAAGUGAAGUGCAAGAUAAAUCAUCCAUAGAUUUCAUUUCCUGAAUAAGAAGGAAGCUUUCAGAAGAAGGGAAUAUGAAAGACGCAGGUCUUGAAAAUAGGUGGAAGAAACGCAAAUCGGUGUGUCGGAGAGAACGUCGGACUGCAAACUUAAGGCCAGAACCAUACGUUCUCAUCAGUGACGGCAAUAAUGAGGGGAGAUCAUGUUCACCUCAAGUGCGCGUUGGGGAUUGAAGGGAAGGUGCAUGGAGUGCUAGUCCCACGCCACUCAUCAUAUAAUCUGCUCUCCACUGUCUUCACCCUGUUCACUGUCCCUGGAGACUGACUUGUGUGGACCACACCAACAGGCACCCUUGCACUUUGUCUGAUGGUUUAGUGCAGCCAAUCAGGACCUCCAAAGGGAAUCAAAGAGAGGAAGGGAAGUGACGGUAAGGAAUUACUUCCCUUCUCAUCUUUCUGUAGGGCCUCCAUCUUGCUCUGUUACCCAACGCAAGGUCACUGCUCCUCACAUGGUGACCAGUUCUAGAUGACUUUUUCCUUGAGGAUUCACACAACUCUUCCUCCCUCAUCUCUUUGGGCUUAGGGGUGGUGACCCUCUUUCCUUAUUAACCUUAGGGUGUUGCACCGUGCUUUGUGUUUUUCCUAUGCCCCAUCCACAUCUUUGUAAAUAAUCUCUUUGUAAAUUAACUAUCCUUGAAUUAUCCUGAGUGUGCCAUCUACUUUAUUUUGGGACUCUAACUGAUAUACUAGUCUCACAUUGUCCAAAUCAAGAUCCACCUACGGUGCCCCAGAGAUGACCUGUG
Felis catus (domestic cat) is the source of this 1368-nucleotide long non-coding RNA. RefSeq lists it as uncharacterized. The record is from RefSeq and is a predicted model, not a curated record. NCBI's taxonomy places the organism in Eukaryota, Metazoa, Chordata, Mammalia, Carnivora, Felidae. The transcript has 3 exons.